Cyanistes caeruleus (blue tit) is the source of this 580-nucleotide long non-coding RNA. RefSeq lists it as uncharacterized. The record is from RefSeq and is a predicted model, not a curated record. NCBI's taxonomy places the organism in Eukaryota, Metazoa, Chordata, Aves, Passeriformes, Paridae.
GGCUCUUGGGAAUCUCUCCUCGCUCUGGGAGAGAGCUGGGAGGGAACAAACCCAGAAUGGGGAGCAGGGACAGCAGAGCACAGUGCCUUGGACGGCUGACGUGGCCCUGCCGAGCCCCGGGCGCUGUGAGGGGAUCCUGUGACGGUGACCCGGCCGGAGCUGGUGAGCUGUGGACAGGCUGUUUCCCAGCAAUCCACUUACCUCUCUGUGAACACAAAUGCUUAACCAAAAACCUAGUCUGGGUGGAAUUUGGAGAGAACCUGAAACGAGUCUGGAAGAUUGCAGAUGCUGUUUCCAAAUCACAGAAUAUUCUGUACUGGAAAGGACCCACAAGGACAGUCAAGCCCAACUCCUAAGUGAAUGUUUUUUUAUAAAACUUCUCUCCAAAUUAAGAUAACACACCGUGUCUUGAAAAUUCUCCAACGCCCAACAUACUGUUCAAGAACAUUAGAGAACUUCUGGGUGAGCUAAAGCCACUGCUCUCUGAGUGCCAGCUGGGAUACAGCAGCUCUUUUGUCCACAAAAAACACAUACAUGUCAUCAGAUGAUGUUAUUAAAUUAGCCAAACUCUUUUCAUUGA